AAUUAACGCUGGCAGAGUGCAUAACACAUGCAAGUCGAGCGAGACUGGUCGCAAGAUCAGUCUAGCGGCAGACGAGUGAGUAACACGUAAAGAAUCUACCCUUGAAUGGCGAAUAACCAAUCGAAAGGCUGGCUAAUACGCCGUACUCUCCCCGGAAGGCAUCUUCUGGGGAGGAGAGAAUCGCAAGAUUCGUUCUUGGAGGACUUUGCGGCCCANCAGCUAGUUGGCGGUGUAAUAGACCACCAAGGCUACGACGGGUACCCGGCCUGAAAGGGCGGACGGGCACGAUGGCACUGAGACACGGGCCAUACUCCUACGGGAGGCAGCAGGUGGGGAAUUUUGGACAAUGGGCGAAAGCCUGAUCCAGCAACUCUGC
Molecule: ribosomal RNA, 376 nt
Filed under: uncultured bacterium
Lineage: Bacteria
Description: bacterial SSU rRNA
Rfam family: Bacterial small subunit ribosomal RNA
Source: RNAcentral